Non-coding RNA from Pelodiscus sinensis (Chinese soft-shelled turtle), 2051 nucleotides. The record is from RefSeq and is a predicted model, not a curated record. NCBI's taxonomy places the organism in Eukaryota, Metazoa, Chordata, Testudines, Trionychidae.
CACGCGUUUAAUUGGUCCAGCCACAAGUGAACCGGCUUGUAACGGACAGCGCGGCCACAACAUGUUCUUCCUACAGACCUGGUGGUUUUUUGUGAAAUAACUUAAGACACGCAGCCGCUGUGCGCAGCUUAGCACCCUGAAGUGCACACGGGAGGGGCUCUUCAGUGUGAAUGCACUGACUUCAGACGAAGAGCAGUUGUGAUUUGUGGGCGUUUCAGCAGUGGCCCUCGGCGAAAGGAGGUGCCUCUAAGGGUUCCCAAAGGCAAGAUAACUGGGCCCCUGUGCUGAAGAGCUUCGUGAGUCUUGAAAAGCCCACAACGAUUUUAUUCAUAUAGUUAGUCUCAUUAAUUUGUCGUCCCUUGUGUUAACCUCUUGAGCUUUAUGGAGUCUCCAUCACUUCCCAGACAUAAUUAGCUUUUUUUCUCAACUAAAAAUGUUCCAUUGUUUGUCUAGAUUCAAGUAAUUGGAGGACAAGACUUGAUAUGGGGGGUAGGAUCGCUCAGUGGUUUGAGCAUUGGCUAGCUAAACCCAGGGUAGUGAGCUUAAUCCUUGAGGGGGCCAUUUAGGGAUGGGGGGCAAAUCUGUCAGAGAUGGUAUUUAGUCCUGUUGUGAGGGCAGGGGACAGGACAGGACAACCUUUCAAGUCUCUUCCAGCUCUAUGAGAUAGGUAUAUCUCCAGAAAUUCAGAUGAUACUAUGCAGAAAGUCACCAGCCAGUUGGUGUGGGCAUGUGGGGGAAAGGGACAGGGGGAGUGAAGGACAGAAUGAGAUCUAGGACUUUGUGAAAGAUUUAUAACUCACUUGCACUAAACAGCUUAACCAUCCUUUAAAAAACUAGCCCCGGGGGGCCCUUUUCAAAUCUUGAAACAUAGUUAAGUGUUUAGCAGUCUUAUAGCCCCUUUACUUCAAACAAGAGUCCAAGAUGUUAAAUAUAUAUGAAAAAGAGAAGUUACUCACUCAGUGCAGUAACAAAGGUUCUUCCAGAUGUGUCCCCUCCAUGGGUGCUUCGCUGUUGGCGUGGGCCUCAUCCUGGCACCACGGAUCAGAGACUUUUAGAGCUGUGUUCAUUCAGGCUCUGCUUGUGUAAGCGGCGAACGGUGUUCCUGCCUUUGAAGUUAGCCCUUGUAGCAGAUUAUUAAUGCCAGAAGAAAUGGGAAGAAAGGCGGGUAAUGGAACACCCACAGGGACAGACAUCUCGAAGAACCAUCAUUACUGCAUAGAACCUGAUUGCCAGAAGGAACAACGUUUUCAUGGUGAGAAAGGAGCAUGAUGUAUUCCAGUAUCAAAUGGAGCGGAGCCAUAGAUGGUUGGAUUCCUCUCCGUGUGCACCACUGUAUAAACCAUUGCCAUUUGUACAGAUGCUCUCCUACAACUGCCAGGGUCUUGGAGAAGACUUUGUGGGUAGAGGAGAGUCCUAAUGGAAGUCCUAAUGGAAGUACUGAAAAUGGUCUAAUGCUCCUGUAAAGUGUAGAAAAUGUCUGUGCACCGGAUGUAUUGUGAUGUCGAAACAUGCGUCUUAGAGGUUGAGGGUGGAAAACCAAUCUGCCCUGUCCAGCGUGGGAAUCAUCAUGGCAAGUAACCAUUUUGAAACGCUGCUGCAAAGAGCAGAAGCCACCUGAAGAUCAGCGCCAGGCAAGUCUCCACCGGUGAUUCCUGUGCCUAGGAGCAGAAGGCCCCAGACGAGGAUCAUCACUACCUGCCUGCACCAUACCCGUCCCCAGGGUCUCCGAGGGAUCGCCUCUCUGUUCCUCGCUAAGGGCUCGGAAGGAGCCUAAGGCUUGAGUUCAAGAGCACCACAGAGGGUCACCGCUGCGAGGGAUCUCCUUCUUGUCUUUCACCAGAGGCUUUAAAUUAGCCAAAGGUUUGAGAGACAGGAGCUUCUCACCCACUGUUAACUACUGGACUGUGUAAUUAUUGUAUUUUGUGUAACCUAGUGUUUGUGGGGUACUUUUCUAUCUUCUUUCCUUCGUGGGGUUGGGAACUAUUAUUGUUUACCUGCCUUUCUUGUUGUACCUUUAAAACUUUUACAAUAUAUGGUUUGGCCCCUUUAAA